AACGAACGCUGGCGGCAUGCCUAACACAUGCAAGUCGAACGAGACCUUCGGGUCUAGUUGCGCACGGGUGCGUAACGCGUCGGAACCUUCCCUUAUGUUUGGAAUAACUCCCCGACAGGGGUGCUAAUGCCGGAUAAUGUCUUCUGACCAAACAUUUAUCGCCGUUGGAUGGGCCCGCGUUGUAUUAGCUAGUUGGUAGGGUAAAAGCCUACCAAGGCGACGAUCCAUAGCUGGUCUGAGAGGAUGAUCAGCCACACUGGGACUGAGACACGGCCCAGACUACUACGGGAAGCAGCAGUGGGGAAUAUUGGAAAAUGGGCGAAAGCAUGAUCCAGCAAUGCCGCGUGAGUGAUGAAGGUCUUAGGGUUGUAAAGCUCUUUUACCCGGGAUGAUAAUGACAGUACCGGGAGAAUAAGCUCCGGCUAACUCCGUG
RNAcentral lists this ribosomal RNA (433 nucleotides) under uncultured bacterium. RNAcentral describes it as "partial 16S ribosomal RNA". It matches the Rfam family "Bacterial small subunit ribosomal RNA", at positions 29 to 507 of the family's 1533-position model. The record is from RNAcentral.